GAAAAUGUUUUCCUUGGAUUUCAUGUUCUUACAGGUUCACCAUCAUCUGAAUAAAACACUUUGGCUUCUCUGCCAGUGGGUCAGCUUCUUUUGGACCUCUGCAGAUCUUCAAAAAAAAAGUAAGAUCUUCAAAAAAUCCUAUAUUUUUCUAGAGAGCAGAAGAUCGCUGAACUUUUGGUUCACAGCAGGAAGAAUGCAUCUCUGCUUCUUAUAUCUGAUUGGCUUCAAAAUAAGGGAUUGAUAGACAUUGGUGGCCGGUAUUGGAGAUGGUGAGAAGAGGAACUUAAGACACCUGACCUUGAUGACAGCAAAACAUUAUACAAUUAGUUGGCAAAUCUGGAUACAGAAACCUGAUGCAAGCCAAACCAAUGCUUGAAAUUUUGGGCUUGGACAAUCUGGAACUGCGUCACCUGCAUUCUGAUUGAAGCAUAGUACACAAAAUUGUCUGCUACAAUGUCUUACCUGUCAAUGACUUCUUCAGCUUCAACAAUACACGGGCAAACAAUUGAUACAAACUCAAGGUAAACCGUUCCAAACUCAAUUGCAGAAAAUAUGACUUCAGCAACAGAGUGGUCAAUGCCUGGAAUGCUCUACCGACUCCGUUGUUACAUCCUCUAACUCUCACAGCUUCAACCUUAAACGGUCUACCAUGGACCUCCCCCUAUUCCAAACAGGGGUGAGUUCUAUCUACCUUUACUACUGGUUCACAACGGGGCUGCACACGUGCACUUGCUUUGCUCGCACGCUCUUCUGCACAUUCGCAGAAGCGUUCUGAUGAUGUCGGGGUCAAUGGGCAGAGCCUCCCGCUGGUUUUACUACCGGUUCUAUAGAACCGGUCUGAACUGGGGGCAACCCACCACUGUUUUCUUCUGUAGUUCUUGCAAGUUCCGCCAACAAGAUAAAUGGUUGGCAUUUUAAAAAGGAUAACUCCAGUCACUUCUAAGUGGACAUUUUCUUUACGUUGUUUUCAUUAUAUUGCAGAUCACAAUGGAAAACAGGAAAUACUCAUGUUAUUUUUACACAUUUUCAAUAAUUCCAUACAGUAACAUCCUUCUUGGUAUCUUUUUAAGGGCUACAUAGUUCUAUAUACUUUAUAAAAUUGUGAAUGGCUACACAACCUAAUUCUAAUGCAUAUAUUAUUCACUUAUAAUAAUUAUUAUAAGUCUAGUAGAAUUAACUCAAAUGACAAUUGGUCCUAUUUUAUCAUAUUCUUGCACAUCUGUAUCAAACUGUAUUUUGGGAAUUAUGCAAGUUUUGUCUCAUAUAUUUCUACAUGGUCUUUCUCUGAUAACACAUGUUCUUUGUUCAUAAUAAUUUUGUCUAACUUGGAUAGGUUAAUAUAUUCUAAAAUGAAAUACAAAAAUAAAACUUCAUUGAAAUGUCAAAGUAGUAACUGCAGAAGCAGCAGAAAUGCAUGUUUGUUAUUGCAGAACUUUUGUUGUUGAUCCUACCAAGCAGACAAUAAAGUAAAAACCAUUCUAUUUA
This is a long non-coding RNA of Pantherophis guttatus, 1485 nucleotides long. RefSeq lists it as uncharacterized. NCBI's taxonomy places the organism in Eukaryota, Metazoa, Chordata, Lepidosauria, Squamata, Colubridae. The record is from RefSeq and is a predicted model, not a curated record.